GGGCUCUUCAGUGACAUUUUGAGGGUUUGAUUAGUUAUCCCUCAUGAGUGGCAUUGUGUACUGCAGCGAUCUUGUGCCUAUGGCAUCUAUCACUUCUCGUCUUCACACGAGAGGCAGUAUGUGCCAGCGGCUAGCUUGUACCUACAGUAUCUUGCACUUUCGAUGUCAUUCUAAGGGUCUGAUUAGUUAUCUUUCUGAAAGUCCCCUUAAGGGUCUCUCUCUGCUUCUCUUACAACUCGGGCUCCACCUCAGAG
Molecule: long non-coding RNA, 254 nt
Filed under: Elaeis guineensis (African oil palm)
Lineage: Eukaryota; Viridiplantae; Streptophyta; Magnoliopsida; Arecales; Arecaceae
Description: long non-coding RNA (EGUI_LNC048956)
Source: RNAcentral